UCAUUACAGUGUUCGCUGCCCUCACGGGUAGCAAACCUCACCCUUGUGUAUUAUAUCUUUGUUGCUUUGGCACGCCGCCUUCGGGCACUGGCUUCGGCUGGCUCGCGCGUGUCAGAGGACCCCAAACUCUGAAUGUUAGUGUCGUCUGAGUACUAUCUAAUAGUUAAAACUUUCAACAACGGAUCUCUUGGUUCUGGCAUCGAUGAAGAACGCAGCGAAAUGCGAUAAGUAAUGUGAAUUGCAGAAUUCAGUGAAUCAUCGAAUCUUUGAACGCACAUUGCGCCCGGUGGUAUUCCGCCGGGCAUGCCUGUUCGAGCGUCAUUUAAACCAAUCCAGCCUCGUGCUUGGGUCUUGGGCCUUUCGCCUCCGGGCGGGCCUCAAAAUCAGUGGCGGUGCCUCCUGGCUCUAAGCGUAGUAAUACUCCUCGCUAUAGACGUUCGGUGGUGUCCUGCCAGCAACCCCCCCAUUUCAAAGG
RNAcentral lists this ribosomal RNA (475 nucleotides) under Ascomycota sp. BEA-2010. RNAcentral's name for it is "eukaryotic LSU rRNA". The stretch from base 168 to 321 matches the Rfam family "5.8S ribosomal RNA". The record is from RNAcentral. Lineage: Eukaryota; Fungi; Ascomycota.